UAAAGAAUUUCGGUAUGGGAUGGGGAUGCGUUCCAUUAGUUAGUUGGCGGGGCAACGGCCCACCAAGACAACGAUGGAUAGGGGUUCUGAGAGGAAGGUCCCCCACAUUGGAACUGAGACACGGUCCAAACUCCUACGGGAGGCAGCAGUGAGGAAUAUUGGUCAAUGGACGAGAGUCUGAACCAGCCAAGUAGCGUGAAGGAUGACUGCCCUAUGGGUUGUAAACUUCUUUUAUAUGGGAAUAAAAUGUUCCACGUGUGGGAUUUUGUAUGUACCAUAUGAAUAAGGAUCGGCUAACUCCGUGCCAGCAGCCGCGGUAAUACGGAGGAUCCGAGCGUUAUCCGGAUUUAUUGGGUUUAAAGGGAGCGUAGGUGGAUUGUUAAGUCAGUUGUGAAAGUUUGCGGCUCAACCGUAAAAUUGCAGUUGAAACUGGCAGUCUUGAGUACAGUAGAGGUGGGCGGAAUUCGUGGUGUAGCGGUGAAAUGCUUAGAUAUCACGAAGAACUCCGAUUGCGAAGGCAGCUCACUGGACUGCAACUGACACUGAGGCUCGAAAGUGUGGGUAUCAAACAGGAUUAGAUACCCUGGUAGUCCACACAGUAAACGAUGAAUACUCGCUGUUUGCGAUAUACAGUAA
This 636-nucleotide ribosomal RNA is filed under the name uncultured bacterium. RNAcentral describes it as "bacterial SSU rRNA". It matches the Rfam family "Bacterial small subunit ribosomal RNA", at positions 202 to 842 of the family's 1533-position model. The record is from RNAcentral.